Molecule: ribosomal RNA, 244 nt
Filed under: uncultured Eubacteriales bacterium
Lineage: Bacteria; Bacillati; Bacillota; Clostridia; Eubacteriales
Description: partial 16S ribosomal RNA
Rfam family: Bacterial small subunit ribosomal RNA
Source: RNAcentral
UACGUAGGGGGCAAGCGUUAUCCGGAUUUACUGGGUGUAAAGGGGGCGUAUAAAGUCUGAAGUGAAAACCCGCAGCUCAACUGCGGAGUUGCUUUGGAAACUUAUAAGCUGGAGUGUCGGAGGGGUAAGCGGAAUUCCCAGUGUAGCGGUGAAAUGCGUAGAUAUUGGGAGGAACACCGGAGGCGAAGGCGGCUUACUGGAAGAUAACUGACGUUGAGGCUCGAAGGCGUGGGUAGCAAACAGG